AUUAAUCCUAUGAAAAGGAGAAGUAACUAAAUUUAGAUUCAAUUAAGAGAGUUAAGGAUGGUGAAAUCUUAGCAAGAAAAAAUUUAGUGAAUGGACCUUAGAGGAAUUAGCAGAAAUUUUUAUAAGAGUAUGUGAUAUGGUGGCCUGCACCUUAUAGCAGGUAAAGUAUAUUAGUACUUGAAUUUAAGAGGUAUAAUUUUAAAUUAUACAAUUUAGGUGGUACCGCGGAUUAACUCCGUCCUAUAA
RNAcentral lists this non-coding RNA (246 nucleotides) under Clostridium disporicum. Its description in RNAcentral is "T-box sequence". It matches the Rfam family "T-box leader". Rfam says of the family: Uncharged tRNA acts as the effector for transcription antitermination of genes in the T-box leader family. Lineage: Bacteria; Bacillati; Bacillota; Clostridia; Eubacteriales; Clostridiaceae. The record is from RNAcentral.